Molecule: transfer-messenger RNA, 396 nt
Filed under: Lachnospiraceae
Lineage: Bacteria; Bacillati; Bacillota; Clostridia; Lachnospirales
Also listed under: 1 other name
Description: Wujia sp017625335 Standard tmRNA
Rfam family: transfer-messenger RNA
About the family: Bacterial tmRNA, also known as 10Sa RNA or SsrA, is named for its dual tRNA and mRNA-like properties. Its role is to liberate the mRNA from a stalled ribosome.
Source: RNAcentral
GGGCUUGCCAGGUUUCGACAGGGCAUUGCAGAAUUAAAUAAGCAUGCAGAGGAUGAUGGACACCUCUUAAAAAGACAUCAAACAAUAAAUGCUGAAAAUAGCAGACCAGUAGCUCUCGCUGCUUAAUUGUAGCGGACUACACCCGAUUUAAUCGGUUAAAGCUUUUAAGUAGUGUUUGACUUAGGCUAACGCUUAAAGGUUAAAAAGAAUCUAAGUUAUUGACUGAUGGGCCGUGGCGAAGGCAUAUUCAGCUCUUACUAAAGCAGCUAUAGCAACUUGUAUGGAGGAAGGUGAACCACCAAGCAAGAGUUAUUCAAAUAGUAAAAAUCACCUAAGCAUGUAGAAAGUUUAAGGAUGGUGUUUUGGACAGGGGUUCGACUCCCCUCAGGUCCACUU